UACGGAGGGAGCUAGCGUUGUUCGGAAUUACUGGGCGUAAAGCGCGCGUAGGCGGCUUUGUAAGUCAGAGGUGAAAUCCCGGAGCUCAACUCCGGAACUGCCUUUGAGACUGCAUCGCUUGAAUCCGGGAGAGGUGAGUGGAAUUCCGAGUGUAGAGGUGAAAUUCGUAGAUAUUCGGAAGAACACCAGUGGCGAAGGCGGCUCACUGGACCGGUAUUGACGCUGAUGUGCGAAAGCUAGGGGAGCGAACGGG
Molecule: ribosomal RNA, 253 nt
Filed under: uncultured bacterium
Lineage: Bacteria
Description: partial 16S ribosomal RNA
Rfam family: Bacterial small subunit ribosomal RNA
Source: RNAcentral